RNAcentral lists this long non-coding RNA (650 nucleotides) under Setaria viridis. Its description in RNAcentral is "long non-coding RNA (SVIR_LNC001155)". The record is from RNAcentral. Lineage: Eukaryota; Viridiplantae; Streptophyta; Magnoliopsida; Poales; Poaceae.
GCUUGGACUUGGCCAAGCGGCUGUCUAACUAAUCUUUUGCUUGGCCGAUCUACCAGCAGAUUGAUGGAAGUGGAUGUAAAUGCAGGCAAACACAGCUGGUUGGUUCAGGCACCGCACCAACAGGGCACAGAUGUUCCUUUGUUCUGCAGGAAGCAACGAUACAUUCACAAGAAGUGUCGGUGAGUACCCUGUUCUCUGUCCAAUUUAUUCAGCAGGUCUGGUGUGCACUUUCAUGUGUGUUUUAAGGCCCAUAAUACUCGGAGCAAAAAAAACAUGUGAUCUGAAUCUGACCUGGGUUUUCGUCUGUGAUCUUUGGUGCUUGCACAAGCAUGUGAUGAUGGUGGUAGCCCCUGGGUCUAGGUAACCAGGUAGCAGGGUCAGAUGUGAUGUGGAGGUUGGCUUAGAUGUUUAGCUACAGGUCUCGCACUGUAGUGUGUACCUGCUGCAUAUAGGACCUGCUAGCUGCAUGUGAUGGUUAUUCAACCUUGACGCCUUUACCAAACUUGAACCUCGUAUGAGAAAUGUGGUAACUAAAGCAAUAACUACUGUACUUGGAAAAUUUUUGUCUAGUGCUAGCUCCUCCUAAUAUAAUUGAAGGACUCUUUCAGAGACUGGUUUAAAUUAAGCUUCAUGCAUCUUGGUUUGAAAAA